Molecule: long non-coding RNA, 1290 nt
Organism: Amphiprion ocellaris (clown anemonefish)
Lineage: Eukaryota; Metazoa; Chordata; Actinopteri; Pomacentridae
Exons: 5
Source: RefSeq, a predicted model, not a curated record
UACGCAGCUAAUCAACGUCAUUGACAGGCGUCCUUAUGUGCAGCUACCGUUGCUCUCAUAGAUAUGAAUGAGUAGAUAGGACACGCCCCUUUGAGCUACGUGCUACAGCGAGGCUAAGCUAGUGGGGGAAAAGUUUCAGUGCAUUCCGUUGAUGUAGACGGCGUGAAAACGGAAACAACAAGUAUGCCGGCUCACUGUGCUGCAUACAGUUACACACUACGUCGUACGAUUGAGACAAGGAAACUUGGAAUGACUUUUCAUAGAUUUAACAUGGGCGGAUCUACUGGGGGGGGCAUAGGGGGGCAAAUGCCCCCCUAAAAAAAAGCCUUGCCACCCCUGCUGCCACCCCAGUUUGCACCGACGAAUUUGACAUUUACGACCGAGGAACUCCAAUGUCUGACUGCCCUGAAUGCAGCACGAGAUGAGGCCAGAGCGGCAGCGAGCGGCUGCAGCGCAUGCACAGUAAGAGACUGAUUUGUUUCGAAAAAGUGAGGGAGCCAGGAGUCGCAAGAAAAGAAGACACAGGAGGAAAGAGAUGUAUCCAAGUCCAGGUGUGAGGUUCCAGUGCAGCCAAUGCGAGACAGUUUCCCUAAGACCCUCCAGGGAGGAGCCAGAAGAAGCUUCUGCAGCGACUGGUUUCCCAAAGACUAUGGAUUGAGGAGGAAUUGGAAGUUUGUCGGCUUAGACCUGGUGUCAUUCCAUCAGUGUUAAACUUCCCGGCUCAUCUUGGAAGAGUACGUGCCAGAAAGACCACGACCAAGCAGCCUUGAGAUCUUAGACAGCGUCUUCCUGAGGUCCCUCUCCAUCUCCCCACACAUCCACCAACCACUGGAACACAUCUCCAAAGUUCUGCCGGGCCAGCUCAGCUUCCCCUCAGAAGAAGUGCUGCCAGAUGAAGGAACCUUUUGAGAGGCAGCUGGCAUCGUGAUUGGACUGUACUUUGGUCUGUUCCAAUCCAACUUCAGCUCCAGAGACGGCAGGCGGGACGAGUCAACGGAGGCCAGGUGGACGAAGGCAUGCAGCUGAGUACAAUCCAGAAAACAACAGAGGAGGAGUGCAGCAUCCCAGGGCCAGAACAGGCAGAGUAGCAUCAUAUGUCUCUUAGAAAACAUCAUAGUAUAGCCUUUGGUAUGAAAAAACGCCAUCAUAUACAUCGUAGAUUGUACAAAUAACAAGUCAAAGGAAAGAGACAUACAUUGUAGAAUUGUAGUAAUUGUGGGCUGACUGAUCUACUGAUUAUCAGUAUUUUAUUUUUUACUGAUUUACGGUAAUAAAUAAAUUUAAAAAUGG